GUCCUGAGGGAGAAAGCAGGGGAUCGCAAGACCUUGCGCGAAUGGAGCGGCCGAUGCCGGAUUAGCUAGUUGGUAGGGUAAAGGCCUACCAAGGCGACGAUCCGUAGCUGGUCUGAGAGGAUGAUCAGCCACACUGGAACUGAGACACGGUCCAGACUCCUACGGGAGGCAGCAGUGGGGAAUUUUGGACAAUGGGGGAAACCCUGAUCCAGCCAUUCCGCGUGAGUGAAGAAGGCCUUCGGGUUGUAAAGCUCUUUCGGCAGGAACGAAACGGUGGGGGCUAAUACCCUCUACUAAUGACGGUACCUGAAGAAGAAGCACCGGCUAACUACGUGCCAGCAGCCGCGGUAAUACGUAGGGUGCGAGCGUUAAUCGGAAUUACUGGGCGUAAAGCGUGCGCAGGCGGUUAUGUAAGACAGGUGUGAAAUCCCCGGGCUUAACCUGGGAACUGCGCUUGUGACUGCAUAACUCGAGUGUGCAGAGGGGGGUGGAAUUCCACGUGUAGCAGUGAAAUGCGUAGAGAUGUGGAGGAACACCGAUGGCGAAGGCAGCCCCCUGGGUCAACACUGACGCUCAUGCACGAAAGCGUGGGUAGCAAAUAGGAUUAGAUACCCUGGUAGUCCACGCCCUAAACGAUGCGAACUAGGUGUUGGAGAAGGAGACUUCUUUAGUACCGCAGCUAACGCGUGAAGUUCGCCGCCUGGGGAGUACGGUCGCAAGAUUAAAACUCGAAGGAAUUGACGGGGACCCGCACAAGCGGUGGAUGAUGUGGAUUAAUUCGAUGCAACGCGAAAAACCUUACCUACCCUUGACAUGCCAGGAACUUGCCAGAGAUGGCUUGGUGCCCGAAAGGGAGCCUGGACACAGGUGCUGCAUGGCUGUCAGCUCGUGUCGUGAGAUGUUGGGUUAAGUCCCGCAACGAGCGCAACCCUUGUCAUUAGUUGCCAUCAUUUAGUUGGGCACUCUAAUGAGACUGCCGGUGACAACCCGGAGGAAGGUGGGGAUGACGUCAAGUCCUCAUGGCCCUUAUGGGUAGGGCUUCACACGUCAUACAAUGGUCGGUACAGAGGGUUGCCAAGCCGCGAGGUGGAGCCAAUCCCAGAAAGCCGAUCGUAGUCCGGAUCGGAGUCUGCAACUCGACUCCGUGAAGUCGGAAUCGCUAGUAAUCGUGGAUCAGCAUGUCACGGUGAAUACGUUCCCGGGUCUUGUACACACCGCCCGUCACACCAUGGGAGUGGGUUUCACCAGAAGUAGGUAGCCUAACCGCAAGGAGGGCGCUUACCACGGUGGGAUUCAUGACUGGGGUGAAGUCGUAACAAGGUA
Molecule: ribosomal RNA, 1323 nt
Filed under: metagenome
Description: bacterial SSU rRNA
Rfam family: Bacterial small subunit ribosomal RNA
Source: RNAcentral